CGCUUUCGUAAUGAGUUUAUUUUCCAUGAUUUAUAGCAGAGGUAACAGGAUCAUUUUCCAAAGACAUGGACUAGAGGAGAAGGAAGGGGUGAUUUUGAUCAUGAGAAGUGGCUUCAGAGGACCUCCAGACAGCACUGUGAAUGAACAAAUUACAUUAUGUAAAAUACCCUUCCUUGGGGGUGGUCAAAACAUGGAAAUGUAGGUUGCUCUGCUACUAAAACAGCUUGACUUUGGCUGUUCUAACCUCUCCGUGGAGAGGAAGACAGAGCAGGGCGGGGAGUGAUUACUCCUCAAACAGAGAGUGAUUUAACACCACCACUGGCUAUGUGACAGAUAAACUAAUUUACCCAAAUCACUAAGCUUGGGUUUUUCCAUCCACAUUAAUUUGGUUGCUUGCACAUGACAACAGCAGAAUUUGUUGGUGACAGGGAUUCAAAGGUCUGGGCAUUGCAGCUCAGCAAGAGAACACAAACAACUCAAGGCAAGAUACUACAAUCACUUGGGCAGCUUUCGCCCCAUCAUGGACUGCAAGGCACAGGAGUCACAAGGGUGAUUUCUUUCAGCCCGUGAAGGCUUGAUGUGGUGCUGGAUCAAACUAAAUUUUCACCUUCUAAUUAAACUGCUGGUAUUCCUUCCAUCUCAAAUUUUUGGAAGCCACUGAAUGUGAUGGAAAUGUGGUCUUCCGGCCAACACAGCAGUCUGGAGCCUGUGGCUGGCUGGUUUUAUUUUUGGAUUACAGGGGACCUCCAUCAAGCCUCUUUGUUUUAUUCUGAACCUCACUUUCCCAAAUAUAGGAAGGAGAAUCCACAGCGGCUUGGGGAGUUGCAAAACCUGUGCUUUCUGGUCAGUUGGAUCAAGACAUGAGUCCUAGCUUCACCACCAUCUAGUUAUGUGACCUUCAGGAAGUUAUUUAACUUCUCCAAGACUUGGGUUUUCCAUCUGUAAUAUGGGGAUAGUAAUAAAUACUUGCUUAUUUCAUUAUAUCAUCCAUUCAGCAGACAUCUACUGAGUGCCUCCUAUGUACCAGGCAAUGCCCUAGAUCUGAGUCUACAAAGGUGAGUGAAGCAGACAUAGCUCCUGUCCUCAUGGAGCUUAUGGUCUAUUGGGAGAAAUAUAUAAUAGGCAAAAGCACUUACUCUUGUCCCUGGCUUUUAACAGGUACUCAUGUUUUCAGAUGACCAGAAAUGUAGUUCUUGAAAUUCAGUGCCAUUCAAUAUGCAUUAAUUCCUUUUUCACAGAUCCCUUCCUAUCUCAGGGGCUUUACAAAUGAUAAUCUCUAUCUGGCUUGUUCUUUUCUCAGCAAUUCACAUGACUUCUCUCUUGCUUUAUUCAUAGCUCUACUCAAACGUCACCUCCCCAGAGGCCAUUCCUAAUUACCUAUUCAAAUAACCUAUUCUUGAUGGGUUUAAAAAUCACCUAUUAGGGCAGCCCCAGUGGCCCAGUUUAGCGUCGACUUCAGCCCAGGGUGUGAUCCUGGGGACCCAGGAUCAAGUUCCAUGUCGGGCUCCCUGCAUGGAGCCUGCUUCUCCCUCUGCCUGUGUCUCUGCCUCUCUCUCUCUCUCUCUCUCUCUCUCUCUGUGUCUCUCAUGAAUAAAUAAAUAAAAUCUUAAAAAAAAAAAUCACCUAUUACUGGGAGUGCCUGGGAUGCUCAGUUGGUUGAGUGUCCGACUCAUGAUUUUGGCUCAGGUCAUGAUCUCAGGAUUGUGAGAUGGAGCCCCACGUUGAACCUCACAUUGGGCUCCACACUGAGCAUGGAGCCUACUUUAGUUUUUCUCUCUCUCCCUCUCCCCUGCCCCCAGCCCCCCCAAGAAUAUCUAUUAGUGAAAAUUUUCUCGUAGAUUUAGGGUAAAUUUUUGUACUAAAGUCUGCAGUAUAAUCACAUUUCUAAAAGAUAGGCAGAUUUGGAAACAUUUUACAGUAAAAGAUUUAAGAAUGACCAAUAAGAAAAAAAAAUUAAAAAAAGAAAAAAGAAUAACCAAUAAGCCUAAGAAGAGAUGCCUAGCAUCACUAGUCAUCAGGGAUAGUUUUUCAAGACUGGUACUACUAAGCAUUGGCAAGAAAAACUGGAACACUUGUACUCUGCUGAUGGAAGUGCAAAAUGGUGCGGCAACUUUGGACAACACUUUGGUGGUUUCUUACAUGGUUAAACUAUACACUCACCAUACAACCCAGCAAACCCACACCUACACAUUUACCUAAGAGAACUGAAAACAUAUAUAUACUGUAAGGACUUGUAUAUGAAUUUGUUUAUAGCAGCAUUAUUCAUAAUUCAUACUUGAAUAACAACUCAAAUGUCUAUCAGCUGAAGAACGAGAAAUAAAAUGUGAUAUAGCCACACAAUGGACUACUAGUCAGCAAUAAAAAGGAACAAAGGCUACAACACAGAUGAAUCUCAAGAACAUCAUGCUAAAUGAAAGAAACCAGAUUCCAAAAGCAACACACUGUAUGGUUCCAUGUAUAUGACAUUUUGAAACCAGAUGGAUGGUUAUCUGGGGCCAGGAGUGAGGGACACGGUUGACUGCAGUAUGGCACAAGGGAAUUUUGGGGGGAUGCUGGAACUAUCUUGGGUGUGGUGGUGCUUACACAACUGUACACAACAGCUAAAACUUAUGAAAGUGUACAAUUCAGAUAGGCAAACUUUUUUUGUUUGUGAAUUAUGCCUUAAUAAAACUGUUACGAAGUUUUAAAACACAUUGCUAUAUAUCUCUACCAAAUGACUUUAUGCUUAUCUCUUGUGAUGGGAUUUAGGUGCUUUUUACUUUCCUCUCUUCGCUUAUCUAAAUGCUAUAAAAUUUCCACAAUGAUUAUGGGGUAUUUGCGUCAAGAGAGAAAAAACCAACAAUAAAAUGCCAUAAACAUAAAUAAUCGUGUUAUUCCACAAGGAAUCUAUUGUCGAUUCAACAUUGUUUUCUUGUAAUGAAGCCUAUUUGGGUUACCUCCUCCUCAUCUAUCUUUCCUCAGUGGCACUUUUCAGGGGUGAGCUGAGGAAACAGAUGCAAAAAGGUACAGAGCUUAAUAGCAAUGCUUUGUCCACCCAGCUCUGGGUUUGGCUCUCACCUGGAUUUCUGGAUGAAUACACAGUAGACUAAUGAUAGGGGGCUCUCGUCCUACUUUGCCAGCUCUCCGCCCUCCAUUCCAACCCAAAUCAACUCAUGCAUCUUCCAGGCCCCAAGAGAAAGUUCUUAGCAUAGGACUGGGCAGAUUGUGGUUUGUGGGGUCCAGGCCAGGAGCCUGCCUCCGGCUCCCAUUGGUCUAUUGAGUGCUGCAUGGUCUUGGUGAAGUCAAGAGGCCAUUCAUCAGUGGAGACCCAUGCUUAGAUGACCACUCAUGCUGCACGUGGCAAGAUGGGACACAGAGUCCCUCCAAGAGUCUUCGGGGCUGGAGGUACUCUGUGUCAACAGGUCUCUGGCACUUUUCACCCAUCACACAUCCAAUUCGUCUUCAGGCUUUCUGCCUGUGGAAGGGUAGUCACCUUAGGAGACCCAACUGGCCCGUAGAUGAAGGAUGGUACAUCAGGAGAAGCAUUGUUCCCUCUAUGUGCCUCGGGAUAGCUGGACAAGACUCCUGACAGGGUCCAGGUAUCGGGACACAGGAUUCCAGUGAGGACAUUGAACCUGUAGCUAUAAAAAUAGUGUCAUAAGACUUUAUCCCAUGGAGGAAACAAUCAAUUUUGUAGCCACUCUAGUGAAGAAAUAAAGCCCAUGAGAUGCUCAGAACAGCGGGGUGGGCACAGAGAAGUGAGACGAAUCACAGCUUUCCUUGACCUCUGCUUCGUCACCCAUCGAUGCUGAGCUGGGAGAGAUCCUGAGUUUCCAACCUGGGGUCUCUGUCCCCAAGCUCACACAGGCAUUAUUUUCAGGAACUACUUCCAAUAUCUUAAAACUCCACACAUGAUUCACAAUAAUUAACUUGAGGAUGCAACCCAAAUGCCCACCAAUGGAUGAAUGGAUAAACAAAAUGUGCCAUACACAUACACUAUAAUGUUAUUUGGCCUUAAAUAAAAGGAAAUUCAGACAUACACUACAAUACAGAUGAACUGUUAAGACAUUCUGGUCAGUGAAAUAAGCCAGACCCAGAAUACAAACACAAUUUGAUUCCACGUGUGUGAGGGACCUAGAGUAGUCAAAUUCAUUGACACAGAAAGAAGAAUGGUGGUUACCAGGAGCAGGGAGAAAAGAGGAGUUAGUGUUCAAUGGGUAUAGUGUUACAGUUUGGGAUGUUAAAAAAAGUUAUGGAAAUCUACAGUGGUGAUAGUUACAUAUCAGCGUGAAAACACUUAGGGCCACUGAACUGUACGCGUAGAAAUGUUAAUAAUAGUAAGUUUUAUGUUGUGUAUAUUUUACAACAUGUACAAAAAACAAAUAUUCUGCACAUACCCACAAGGCCUCACCCCCUCAUGAAAGCAUAAAGUCAUGCCUGUUACCAUUCAGAUCAAAUCUGUGAAUGGGCAGGCACAACCUUUGAUUGAUUUUCAAAAAAGAAAAAAAAAAAAAAAAAAAAA
Molecule: long non-coding RNA, 4501 nt
Filed under: Canis lupus familiaris (dog)
Lineage: Eukaryota; Metazoa; Chordata; Mammalia; Carnivora; Canidae
Description: lncRNA (ENSCAFG00845004201.1)
Source: RNAcentral